UGAACAAAACAGACCCUGUCCCCUCCUGCCACUCCCUUAAUAAAAUAGCAACCGAUGGUAACGUUAUAUGACAAAUGUGGUAAAUGCUGGUCAAAAGUAAACGCUUGGGAUCUCGAAUGCUACAUUCUGUACACUGUUGGUUUACUUAAUAGCUUUUAUUUAAAAAGCAUACAGUCAAACUAUCGAGGCAAGUGACUGCAGGCCACAAACAGAACAUGCUGUUCAGACUAACACUUUGGAUAGCAGAGCAAAAACACGGCUGAAAAUAAAGUGGUACUUACAUGACGCUAGCAAACCCAGUUCAGCCUGACACUGAAUGCUGGUGACAUCCAACACCACCUCGUUAUUUCAAGUGACAGCUGACGUGACACGUCCUCAGAAUCUCCGGCCAGCCCUUACAAAACCCCGCUGAACGGAAUGCUGUCGAGUCGUUCUUCGACGCACUUGAAACGGCAGGCCAGCUAGUUCCUCGGCCGACGUGCAGUCUGCUCUGACGACUAAGCCUUCAGAGAUGUGAUGACAACAGUCCGUAUGAAGCCAAUGUCAGGCACUGAGCCACCUCAACUCCGAGGGAAGCCCAGCAAUCCCGCGACGGAAAACGGAGUGAAGAAUGUCAGCGAUCGCUCCUGACGAUAACAGUCCAAUGUCUCUGUAUUCCGCGUACCAGAUGGUGAUGGAGGAGCAGAAGUUCACCAUCAUCGUUUUUGGCAAGUUGAAUUUCUUCAGCUGCCGCAUCCUCUGCUGGGUUUCUUUGGUGAGGGGGCUGAUUUUCUGCUCCCAUGAGGUCCUGGGUGAUGAUGGUGACCAGGAAGCGGAAGGACUCCACAGCAGUGACUGGACUAAGAACCAUCUCUGCUGACUUUGGAGCGUUGAGGUUGUGGCCCCUGCACCAGAUGGCCGAUCACAAUCUGUAGGGAGAUUGUCCCCACCAGAGAUGAUGAGUCUGCCUACUCGUCAUCACUGGGGACGAAAACGGUUUUCUCAUAAAGAUACACUCUGAACGCCUCAUUUAAUUCCUUUACUACCUUGAUAGAAGACUUAUGCUACGUUUUUUUUGUUAAACCUACAAGAGAGCCCUCCAUAUUAUAAUUUGCCUAAAAUGUUGGUAACCUAAACAGUUUGGCUGGUCCACGUUAUUUUUUACCAGAAUUCUGGGAAACAAGAGGAGCAUGCCCCCCAAUGUCUGUAAAGUGUGUCAUUUUUGCUUUUACCUUUCUCUCCAUUCCCCAACCCCAUAAAGGAUGUGUAAUGUUUAUCACCACCAACCACAUCAUCAGAAGUCCCUCUCCAAAUGACUGAAAAACUUCAGUUCAUAUGCAUAAUAUUUAGAGCAUAGCUUUGGAAAGAGCCAAGAGUUUAACAGCCUGAUAAACUGUUCCUGAAUCCACUGAUUUGAUAUUGAUGCUGUGGUUCCUACCGUGUUGAGUGGAGUGUGGGGGUGAAGUGGGCAUUGUGGGAUCCUGUGGGCUUUCUCCCUGUGCCACUGGGUCUGAAGGUCCUCAAUUGAUGGCUGCUCCAACCUUGUGAUGUGCUGUGCACAUCGGAGUAGAUCAGUUAUGCAAAAAAAUAUUGCGAGAGUACAAGUACAAAUAUGUGAAUGUAAAGGGUUGACUACAACUGUUAUAUUUCUAUAUAUGUAGAGGUAAUAUAAAUGUUUGUUUAGAUAGUGGUUUUAAGGUUCCCCAAAUCCAUGAAUCAAUUUCACCAAGGAACACUGUUAAAACAAAACUAAGUAGAGCCGCUAGAUGGCAGAACAGAAAGUCAAAAACGGGUUUAUUGUACACAUUACACACAGGAGGGAAACACGUUGCCACGUGUUGACUUCAGGGAAGAGAAGGAAUCUUCCAGUUUGUUUUUUCCCCUCAUUUCUGACAGCGGCAGUGGUCCUGGUAUUUGGGAAAGUGUGUCUGCAGGCUUUUAAUGUUGUCGGGUUUUUUACAGGAUGUGCACAAGUUAACAGGAGAGGUUCUUUUGAUUCCAAUAUGACAUAAUCAAAAGGUUAAUUUUAUCGUAUAUAUACGGUUGAAUUUCAUAAAUAUAUUUUGACCCUUGAAGAUCAAAUCAUUACUCAUGUGUAUCACAUGCAAGAGAACUAAAUGUGAAAGUGACAAAAAAAAAACAUGAUAAAGACCAGCAAACCAGGGUAUCAUAUCUGGAUUUUUAAGCAUCACAACAGGAACACACAUCUCCACAACAGCCUGUUGUUUUCAGCACCCGUGUUUAGUGCAGUGUGUGCUUCCUCUUCAUUACUAAAUUUAUUUUGACUGCAGCUGGACCCUUGUCCAAAAUAACACCACAAAGAAAUCAAUACAAGAAAAAACUUUAUUGAUGCUAUACAAACAUUUAGAAGAAUCAUCCAGUCUCCCUACAAAUAACAGGGACUGUAGAGCUGUGUCCCCUGGACCGACAACAGGACUGCAGUCCAUGUGUUCACUAGAGGAACUCUUAGGAAGUUCACACUGACUGGGCAGGCUACUUGAUUAGUAUGACAGAAUUGUGACAACAGUUGAUCUACAGUGAUGUUAGAGUUGUCAAAAAAUCAUAUCCUAAAGAUGAUGCUGAUAGUGCCUCACCUUUGAUUUCUUACAACACUGUAAAACAAACAAUAUAUGUUAGAAAGUCUAAAAAAAACAAUGUAAAUAGAAAAUAAACCGUUUUAGGGGAACCAUCAGACUGCCAAUAAGUUUAAGGACAGAUUACCUGAUGAUGACAUUGUUAGGUGAAAUAAACACUAAAAAUGAAAAGAUUCAUUAAGCACAAGUUUGAGGGAAGAUAUGUUUGAAUAUUUACAUACUUACAGUGAAACAUUUUUGUCACGUAUUUAUAGUUUUUGCAUUGAAGAGGUUAACCAAACCCAUUUUGAGCUGUGUUCUACGCAAAUAUAAAUGAAAUAUGUUCAAUUGUUAAUAAGUCAAUAAAUGGCACCUACUGAGCCUGAGAAACACA
Long non-coding RNA from Eleginops maclovinus (Patagonian blennie), 2946 nucleotides. RefSeq lists it as uncharacterized. The record is from RefSeq and is a predicted model, not a curated record. Lineage: Eukaryota; Metazoa; Chordata; Actinopteri; Perciformes; Eleginopidae. The transcript has 2 exons.